RNAcentral lists this ribosomal RNA (301 nucleotides) under uncultured bacterium. Its description in RNAcentral is "partial 16S ribosomal RNA". It matches the Rfam family "Bacterial small subunit ribosomal RNA", at positions 509 to 807 of the family's 1533-position model. The record is from RNAcentral.
CAGUCGCCGCGGUAAUACGUAGGGUGCAAGCGUUAAUCGGAAUUACCGGGCGUAAAGCGUGCGCAGGCGGUUUGUUAAGACAGAUGUGAAAUCCCCGGGCUCAACCUGGGAACUGCAUUUGUGACUGGCAAGCUAGAGUCUGGCAGAGGGGGGUGGAAUUCCGCGUGUAGCAGUGAAAUGCGUAGAUAUGCGGAGGAACACCGAUGGCGAAGGCAGCCCCCUGGGCCAACACUGACGCUCAUGCACGAAAGCGUGGGGAGCAAACAGGAUUAGAUACCCGUGUAGUCCCUGUCUCUUAUAC